Molecule: ribosomal RNA, 357 nt
Filed under: Triticum aestivum (bread wheat)
Lineage: Eukaryota; Viridiplantae; Streptophyta; Magnoliopsida; Poales; Poaceae
Description: partial small subunit ribosomal RNA
Source: RNAcentral
AUGCCCCAGCUACACACGCACAUAGACAGGCGUCGUCGGUCUCGGACGGACGCGCCGCUCAAGCUAGAGAAACCCGUGCGCCUUGUCGCGUCCUGUCCUCCCCAUUUCUCCUCAUCUCCGCGGCCUCGGCGGGCGAACUGCUCCUACCUACUCCAUUUAGGCAGGCAGCAGCAUCGUCUGGCCAGAGCUACACGUAGCGCCUGCGGAUUCAUGCCCACGCCGGUGGCUGCAGGUGGAUGGAUGUCGGUCGGGGUUUGGAACAUGGGGGCGUUGUGGCACAUGUGUGCACGCAUGUUCGCCUCCCUUUUGGUUGGUCAUGUGGGAGCAGAGCAUCUGCAUCUCUCCUCUUGCGAGUGA